UACAGAGGGGGCAAGCGUUAUUCGGAAUCACUGGGCGUAAAGGGCGUGUAGGCGGUUUCGUAUGUCUGGCGUGAAAGCCCCGGGCUCAACCCGGGAAGUGCGUUGGAAACUGCGAAACUAGAGUCUCGGAGAGGAAGGUGGAAUUCCAGGUGUAGCGGUGAAAUGCGUAGAUAUCCGGAAGAACACCAGUGGCGAAGGCGGCCCGCUGGGCAGUGGCUGACGCUGAAGCGCGACAGCGUGGGGAGCAAACAGG
Molecule: ribosomal RNA, 253 nt
Filed under: uncultured bacterium
Lineage: Bacteria
Description: partial 16S ribosomal RNA
Rfam family: Bacterial small subunit ribosomal RNA
Source: RNAcentral